GCCGCAGUAUUUUAACUGUGCAAAGGUAGCAUAAUCAUUUGUUAUUUAAUUGAUAGCUUGUAUGAAUGGUUUGAUAAAGUAUAUUCUUUUUUAAUUCCUUAUUUAAAAUUUUAUUUUAAAGUUAAAAAGCUUUAAUUUAUUUAUUAGACGAUAAGACCCUUUAGAACUUUAAUUAAUUAUUUGUUUAUAUAAUUUGUUAGUAUAUAUAUAAAUUAUUGAUUUAUUUUAGUUGGGGUGACAGAUAAUUUGUAAAAACUUUAUUUUUAUUAUUUUCAUUUAUUUAUGAUUUCUUGAUCCAUUAUUUUUGAUUAUAAGUUUAAGUUACCUAAGGGAUAACAGCGUAAUUAUAUUGGAGAGUUCUUAUUAAUAAUAUAGUUUGCGACCUCGAUGUUGGAUUAAA
Molecule: ribosomal RNA, 400 nt
Filed under: Montandoniola moraguesi
Lineage: Eukaryota; Metazoa; Arthropoda; Insecta; Hemiptera; Anthocoridae
Description: partial 16S ribosomal RNA
Source: RNAcentral